This 122-nucleotide ribosomal RNA is filed under the name Halopelagius inordinatus. Lineage: Archaea; Methanobacteriati; Methanobacteriota; Halobacteria; Halobacteriales; Haloferacaceae. The record is from RNAcentral.
UAAGGCGGCCACAGCAGUGGGGUCACACCCGUACCCAUCCCGAACACGGAAGUUAAGCCCACUCGCGUUUCGGUCAGUACUGGAGUGUGCGAACCUCUGGGAAAUUCGAUUCGCCGCCUCCA